Molecule: ribosomal RNA, 825 nt
Filed under: Septoria sp.
Lineage: Eukaryota; Fungi; Ascomycota; Dothideomycetes; Mycosphaerellales; Mycosphaerellaceae
Description: partial 28S ribosomal RNA
Rfam family: Eukaryotic large subunit ribosomal RNA
Source: RNAcentral
GGGAUUGCCCUAGUAACGGCGAGUGAAGCGGCAACAGCUCAAAUUUGAAAUCUGGCGCAAGCCCGAGUUGUAAUUUGUAGAGGAUGCUUCUGGGUAGCGACCGAUCUAAGUUCCUUGGAACAGGACGUCAUAGAGGGUGAGAAUCCCGUAUGUGACCGGCCCGCACCCUUUACGUAGCUCCUUCGACGAGUCGAGUUGUUUGGGAAUGCAGCUCUAAAUGGGAGGUAAAUUUCUUCUAAAGCUAAAUACCGGCCAGAGACCGAUAGCGCACAAGUAGAGUGAUCGAAAGAUGAAAAGUACUUUGGAAAGAGAGUUAAAAAGCACGUGAAAUUGUUGAAAGGGAAGCGCCUGCAACCAGACUUCGCGGCAGUGUUCCGCCGGUCUUCUGACCGGUUUAUUCUCUGUCGCGAGGCCAUCAUCGUCUGGGCCCGCCGGAUAAGACCUUAGGAAUGUAGCUCACCUUCGGGGGAGUGUUAUAGCCUAGGGUGAUGCGGCGAGGCUCGGGCGAGGUCCGCGCUUCGGCAAGGAUGAUGGCGUAAUGGUUGUCGGCGGCCCGUCUUGAAACACGGACCAAGGAGUCUAACAUCUAUGCGAGUGUUCGGGUGUCAAACCCCUACGCGUAAUGAAAGUGAACGGAGGUGGGAACCGCAAGGUGCACCAUCGACCGAUCCUGAUGUCCUCGGAUGGAUUUGAGUAAGAGCAUAGCUGUUGGGACCCGAAAGAUGGUGAACUAUGCCUGAAUAGGGUGAAGCCAGAGGAAACUCUGGUGGAGGCUCGCAGCGGUUCUGACGUGCAAAUCGAUCGUCAAAUUUGGGUAUAGGGGCG